RNAcentral lists this ribosomal RNA (500 nucleotides) under uncultured bacterium. RNAcentral's name for it is "partial 16S ribosomal RNA". It matches the Rfam family "Bacterial small subunit ribosomal RNA", at positions 30 to 523 of the family's 1533-position model. The record is from RNAcentral.
AUUGAACGCUGGCGGCAGGCCUAACACAUGCAAGUCGAGCGGAUGACGGGAGCUUGCUCCUUGAUUCAGCGGCGGACGGGUGAGUAAUGCCUAGGGAUCUGCCUGGUAGUGGGGGACAACGUUUCGAAAGGAACGCUAAUACCGCAUACGUCCUACGGGAGAAAGCAGGGGACCUUCGGGCCUUGCGCUAUCAGAUGAGCCUAGGUCGGAUUAGCUAGUUGGUGGGGUAAUGGCUCACCAAGGCGACGAUCCGUAACUGGUCUGAGAGGGUGAUCAGUCACACUGGAACGGAGACACGGUCCAGACUCCUACGGGAGGCAGCAGUGGUGAAUAUUGGACAAUGGGCGAAAGCCUGAUCCAGCCAUGCCGCGUGUGUGAAGAAGGUCUUCGGAUUGUAAAGCACUUUAAGUUGGGAGGAAGGGCAGUAAGUUAAUACCUUGCUGUUUUGACGUUACCGACAGAAUAAGCACCGGCUAACUCUGUGCCAGCCGCCGCGGUAA